CUUGAAUGUUGAAUCUGACAUAGUUGAGUUAAGAAUAGUUAAAUUCAUUGGCUUAAACUCCUUAACUAGUUUGUAUUUGAAGCUCAUUAGUUUGUUUUGUUUCAGAAGGCUUAGUUAUAUCAAAUAGCACACUUGUUUUAAAUUUGAAUCAUGACUAAUCUGCAGCUGAUUUGGUAGCUUAAAAUACCGUUCGUCAAUUCUAGAUUGUUUUAGGUUCUUCAGUUCAUCUGCACGUUUUCAGCCACUAACGUUGUUACAAACCAUUUUUAAGUUGAGUUAGUUUGCAUGUGCUGUGUGUCGGGCAGGUCAGAAAUUAGAUUGCCUGGCUUGUGUCGAGUCAUUUGUGCUUGGUCCGGCUAUCUAUUCUUGGUCUCUAAGUCGGGAUCUGACUCGAGCCUUCUGGUUAUUUGAAUCUUUUAUGCUCGUGCGGAUAGGUAGUAUUUGUUUUGAUCUCUUGCCUUGGCCAUUCGCCGCUCCAACUAUUUGUUGGGUCCAAUCUCUGAGUCGAAUUGUGAUUGGUGCUUCAAUCGACCCUUAAGCUCUCUUCUGCCUGCAUGGGUGAAUGAUGAUGGCUCUUUUGCUUUGGGUCGAAGUGACCUCACAAGCGUAUGGCCCAGAAAUUUAAUCAACUGGCGAUGGUAUCUUCUGAGUCGUGCUUUUAGGCAUCAUAUAGUUUAACUACUUUUGGGUCCAGUCUCUGACUCGCGUUGCAAUUCAGCCUGCAAUCAACCCUUAAAUUUCCCUGAUUCCUUGGCCGACAAUAGUGGCACUUAUGCCGUGCCCUUAGGCAUAUUGUAAUUUUUGGGUCCAGUCUCCAAGUCGCAAACGGCUCUAUGAGGUAAGCAAUACCUUUAGAAUACUUUUCCUUAAUAAAAAAUGGUGAUAUGCAUAUAUAAAUAUCCAUAAUGCUUUGUGUAAAACUGUGAGACCAUGUUUUGGGAUUAACUACUUACAACUUUUGCUAGUGACCAUAGGGGAAAAUUGAUCGGAAAUUUCCGUUGGAAUCCACGAUGAUUUGGACUCCCCAUAGACCCUUACAUUCGAGGACGAAUGUUCCUGGGAGAGGGGAGGGUCUUACAACCCAUAUUCACGUAUGUUAACUCAUUCCAUAAGGUACUCAAGGUAAAUCCAUGAAGAUAUUAUCUUUAAGAUGAUAAGAAGUUAAUCCUAUUGGUCUUAAAUGAUAUAAAGAUGUAUAAGGGUGGAUAACAAAUAUGCGAAGUUAAACGAAUCAAGGAUGUUGUCAGCCGUAUUUUUGGAUAAAGAGGUUCUUAAUACGCUCAAAGGGUACUGUUUUAAGUUAUUUGAAUCAUUCUAUAUCCAUAUCAUAAGUCUUGAAGUCAAACGAUUUAUGAGACAAAAGUCGACAAAAGUUGGCACAACUUAGGUUCAUAAUUUUACUUAAACAUUAGUUCAGAUGUUACUAAGAUUUUCUCCAAAUUUACUUAGAAUAAUGGAGUUAUCUAACCACCAAAUGAAUAUCUAUGAAUCUAGUUUCCAACGCAUUAAACCGUUUGUCGAUACGAUCUCUGAGUAGAGAGAUAUUCACAUUUUUGCGAGACUGCGCCAAGCACCUUUCUAAGGGGCCCACUUAGGCGGUUUAAGACAUUUGGAUAUAUAUAUAGGAUGCCUCCAACCCGUUUUAAGUCAUUUUGUUUCACUAUAUUCAGACCUUAGAACCCUAGGAACACCCUUUGAAGGUUCUCUCAAGAUUCAAGACCCAAACAAAGGGCAAACAAUACAAAUCAAGUAUCGUGAAUCCCGUGGCGAAGUUUCUUUUUCUUCUUGUUGUUUCUCAUUUUUGUGUUGUUCCAGCUCGUGUGGGAGGUUGUUUUAAUGGGUUUAUUUUCUUUAAAUACACCCCUAAGUUCUUAAUAUCAACCCUAGGUUAUUUUGAUCCUUCUAAAGUGAUUCUAGUAUCGAAAAACACUGAUUGCUAGUUUCGCUUUCUUGUUAUUGUGGCAGCAUUAGAGGGAUAUUUCAUAGAAAUUUAGGUCAAAUUGGAGUUGUUAUUUCUGUAUAAAGUUAAGGUACCUCUUACUCUAUAUGUAUUUAAGAUUAUCCAAGUUGCGGCUAAGUCAUUGAAGCUAGAACUNNN
This 2098-nucleotide long non-coding RNA is filed under the name Nicotiana benthamiana. RNAcentral's name for it is "long non-coding RNA (NBEN_LNC009396)". The record is from RNAcentral. Lineage: Eukaryota; Viridiplantae; Streptophyta; Magnoliopsida; Solanales; Solanaceae.